CUACGGGGGGCUGCAGUGGGGAAUAUUGCACAAUGGGCGCAAGCCUGAUGCAGCCAUGCCGCGUGUAUGAAGAAGGCCUUCGGGUUGUAAAGUACUUUCAGCGGGGAGGAAGGGAGUAAAGUUAAUACCUUUGCUCAUUGACGUUACCCGCAGAAGAAGCACCGGCUAACUCCGUGCCAGCAGCCGCGGUAAUACGGAGGGUGCAAGCGUUAAUCGGAAUUACUGGGCGUAAAGCGCACGCAGGCGGUUUGUUAAGUCAGAUGUGAAAUCCCCGGGCUCAACCUGGGAACUGCACCUGAUACUGGCAAGCUAGAGUCUCGUAGAGGGGGGUAGAAUUCCAGGUGUAGCGGUGAAAUGCGUAGAGAUCUGGAGGAAUACCGGUGGCGAAGGCGGCCCCCUGGACGAAGACUGACGCUCAGGUGCGAAAGCGUGGGGAGCAAACAGGAUUAGAUACCCGGGUAGUC
RNAcentral lists this ribosomal RNA (464 nucleotides) under uncultured bacterium. Its description in RNAcentral is "partial 16S ribosomal RNA". It matches the Rfam family "Bacterial small subunit ribosomal RNA", at positions 339 to 795 of the family's 1533-position model. The record is from RNAcentral.